This 329-nucleotide small RNA is filed under the name Arabidopsis thaliana (thale cress). Its description in RNAcentral is "ATSL192420". Lineage: Eukaryota; Viridiplantae; Streptophyta; Magnoliopsida; Brassicales; Brassicaceae. The record is from RNAcentral.
UUUGUGUUUCAUAUAAGUAUUGAUAUAGACAUAUAAAUUAGUAUAUGUAAAUUUGUUUACUUUUUAAGAUUUUCUAUUUUUUUUAGACAAUAAAAAAGUUAAAUUUUGAAUGACACAUGUAAACAUCUGAUCGUUUAACUUGACACGUGGCACAAUCUUAUGAGUUAGCAACUUUGAAAACCAUACUUUAUAUAAUAAGAUAUAGACAAGAGGUUAGUUUAUGUUGGAAAAACCGAGUUUACAAAUAUAAAUAAAGGAUUAUUGUUGAUUUUACAUUUUUCAUCAAAAAAAAAUUAAAUUGCCAUUUUUACUAAAUUUUGAUGUAUUUG